Molecule: long non-coding RNA, 1136 nt
Filed under: Marmota monax (woodchuck)
Lineage: Eukaryota; Metazoa; Chordata; Mammalia; Rodentia; Sciuridae
Source: RNAcentral
UCGUUCGGUGUUCCUCCGGGACUUGGAUCAAUGAGUGUCCAUUGAACACAGUGUGUUCUAGGGCUCCUGUACUGCAGAUAUGGACGUGGCCCCCUCAAGAGUCCUGACAGCUUUUGGUGGACAAGAGAUUGAAAGGCCAAAAUCUGAGCUCUAAGGGUCACUUGAGAUUCUUUGUUCAUUGUUAAGAGUGACAUGCUGAAAACUCCUUUUAAGGUGUUUAUGCUGUUCUUACCAGUUUAACACAGUGCCUCAGUGUUGGCAAUGAGUAUGUGCAGCUGGAGUGUGGCUCAGUGGCAGAGUGCUUGCCUAGCAUAUUUGAGGCCCUGGGUUCUAUCCCGGGUAUCACACCAUCAAUCCCUUAGAAAUUUAAUUACAGUAGCUUACCCCACUAGAUUUGUGGGGGUUUUUUUCUUUUUUUUUUUUCCCCCAAGGAGCAAGAAGUUGGCCAUCUAGGACCCUGUGAUACCACCAGGACUCUGGACACUCCCUGUAUUUCCCAUUAGCUGUCUUAAUGUGGCUCUCAUUGUUUCUGUCUGGCUUCAUGGUUUCAAGAAGAAUGCUCCAUCACUAGAAUUACAUUCAUAUUCCAGGUAAAAUGGGAGAAGCAAAAAGAUUUGCUCAGUCAACUCCAGAUUAAAGAGCUUUUUCAGAACUACACCUUCUUAUAUUUGUUGGUCUGAAAUGUGUUAUAAUAGCAUCUCUAGCUCUAAAAGGGCUGGGAAAAUAUAGUUUUCCAUCUGGGAGAGCACCAUGCUGAACAACACUGAGGUUCUAUCUAUAAGGAAGAAGUGGGAAAUGGAUAUUCAGUAGGCAACCACAAGUAUUAGCCACAUUCUGUCCCACAAUUCUCCAAGUGUGUGGUAUAAAUGGCUACUAAGGCAGGCUCUCCUCUCCAUGGUCUUUCAUGCAUAGUUGUUCUUUGUCAUCAAAACAGUACACACUAGAAACUGCCAUGGUGAACAUGCCUCUAAUUCCAGUGGCUUGGGAGGCUAAGAGAGGGACCAAGUUCAAAGCCAGCCUCAGCAGCGUAGUGAGAUCAUAUCAUAAAAACAACAAACAAACAAAAAGGACUGGGAUGUAGUUCAGAGGUUAAGUACCCCUGGGUUCAAUUUCAGUCCCUGGUAACAAAAUAACAC